Molecule: ribosomal RNA, 465 nt
Filed under: uncultured bacterium
Lineage: Bacteria
Description: partial 16S ribosomal RNA
Rfam family: Bacterial small subunit ribosomal RNA
Source: RNAcentral
GACGAACGCUGGCGGCGUGCUUAACACAUGCAAGUCGAACGAUAAGGCCCCAGCUUGCUGGGGUACACGAGUGGCGAACGGGUGAGUAACACGUGGGUGACCUGCCCUGCACUUCGGGAUAAGCCCAGGAAACUGGGGCUAAUACCGGAUAGGACCGCACGCUGCGGGGGGGGGGGUAAGAUUUUUCGGUGGGGGAUGGGCCCGCGGCGUAUCAGCUUGUUGGUGGGGUAGUGGCCUACCAAGGCGGCGACGGGUAGCCGGCCUGAGAGGGUGGCCGGCCACAUUGGGACUGAGACACGGCCCAGACUCCUACGGGAGGCAGCAGUGGGGAAUAUUGCACAAUGGGCGGAAGCCUGAUGCAGCGACGCCGCGUGGGGGAUGACGGCCUUCGGGUUGUAAACUGCUUUCGCCAUCGACGAAGGGUUUCUGACGGUAGAUGGUGAAGAAGCACCGGCUAACUACGUG